AUUUGAGCAAACAAGUAUCCAUGUUAAUAGCCAUUUCCCAUGUUAGGAAGUUUCUAUAAUAGUGAUGUUUACUGAUUUCUCUUCUGAAGUAAUCCAGUCCUUUCAUUUUAUUUUUCUAGGUGGAGACGGUACCUGCUCUGCGGCAAGACUUUGCAGCCAAGAAUGGUGACAUCUCAGGGCCAGAUGGAGAAGUGGGGAACAGAGCCCGAUUUGUAGUUCAGAAGAUGCAAUCUUGAACUGGAAAUGGGGAGAGAGAAGUUUGCUCCUUGAUGCUCAAGCAAUUUUUUGAAACUUUUGGUUUUCUUUCUUCAGUGACUAAGAUGCUGAAGCAAUCCAUGGGACAAAAUACCAGAACUGAUUGUUACUUUCUUCUGGCACUUGUGCAUCAACAGUUGUUACAAGUUCCCACUCAGAAGACUUAGAUGUUUACUGAUGGAGAUGUGCUCAUGCAGACAGAUUUCUGUAGGACCUCGUGAGGAUGUGGGAUAGGCUGCAGGGAGACUCCCACCCAGCCAGGUCAGUCCAUAAACCAGAUGGUAUUUCCUACUGCAUGGGGACAGCAGCUAGAAGAUAAAGCAGAAAGAAAACAGAUCAUGUUGUAUUUUCUGUUGUUGAAAUAAUAUCAACCAGGUUUGUGUAUAUAAACUAUUUCUAUGCUUUGGGAGACAUUUUCUGUUGGUAUUCCAGAACUUUAAAAUGAUAUUUAAUGGAUAGUUUGACAUCUGCGUGUGAUAUCUUUAUCUUGUGAGUAUAGACUUUACAUGGUGCUUGAUAAGCUCAUCUAGGCUCCCUUUUCCUAUGAAUUAUUAGAUCUGAUGACCUUAAAAAGUCCCUUCCAAUCUGGGCUGUUCUGUAAUUCACUGAGUCUAAACUUAUUCAUGCAAUUGGACAAAACAUAGCCUGAUAGCCAGAAGUUAAAAAAAAAUAGCAUUUGGGCUGAUUGCACACAUCAGCAGAGAUAGUGAAGAAGAAUGGUAAUGUUUUUUUGUAUUUAUUCCCUACAGGUAGGGCCUGCUGGCUACAGGAAGUGCAAGGACAGAAGGUCCAGUGACACUGAAUGGUACAAAGCCAACAUGAAAAAUCAUCAACCAGAAAUACUUACAUUAGUAGAUAUACUCCGUGAAAUGUACGUGUAAAGAUACAAAAUAAAUAGGAUAAGAAUGAGCUAGGAAGGCA
This 1176-nucleotide long non-coding RNA is filed under the name Phasianus colchicus (ring-necked pheasant). RNAcentral describes it as "lncRNA (ENSPCLG00000002137.1)". The record is from RNAcentral. Lineage: Eukaryota; Metazoa; Chordata; Aves; Galliformes; Phasianidae.